UCAUUAGACUCUUUCCUUGUACCCCUCC
This 28-nucleotide non-coding RNA is filed under the name Mus musculus (house mouse). The record is from RNAcentral. Lineage: Eukaryota; Metazoa; Chordata; Mammalia; Rodentia; Muridae.